AUUUCCGGUUGAUCCCGCCGGACCCUACUGCUAUCGGGGUGGGACUAAGACAUGCGAGUCGAGCGUCUCCAGCUAUGGUGAGACGCGGCAGACGGCUCAGUAACACGUGGCUAACCUACCCUCAGGACAGGGACAAACCCGGGAAACUGGGGCUAAUACCCGAUAGGCGAGGGCGCCUGGAAUGGUUCUUCACCCAAAGGGCUUUGGAAGCAUGCUUUUCAAAGUCGCCUGGGGAUGGGGCCGCGUCCGAUCAGGUUGUUGGUGAGGUAACGGCUCACCAAGCCUAUAACCGGUACGGGCCGUGAGAGCGGUAGCCCGGAGAUGGGCACUGAGACAAGGGCCCAGGCCCUACGGGGCGCAGCAGUCGCGAAAACUCCGCAAUGCACGAAAGUGUGACGGGGCUACCCCGAGUGCCGUCCGCUGAGGAUGGCUUUUCCUCGGUGUAACUAGCCGGGGGAAUAAGGAGAGGGCAAGACUGGUGUCAGCCGCCGCGGUAAUACCAGCUCUCCGAGUGGUAGGGAUGAUUAUUGGGCUUAAAGCGUCCGUAGCCGGCUUAGCAAGUCUCCUGUUAAAUUCAGCGACCUAAUCGUUGAGCCGCGGGAGAUACUACUAGGCUAGGAGGCGGGAGGGGCCGACGGUACUUCCGGGGUAGGGGUGAAAUCCUAUAAUCCCGGGCGGACCACCAGUGGCGAAGGCUGUCGGCUAGAACGCGCUCGACGGUGAGGGACGGAAGCUGGGGGAGCGAACCGGAUUAGAUACCCGGGUAGUCCCAGCCGUAAACGAUGCGGGCUAGG
Molecule: ribosomal RNA, 794 nt
Filed under: uncultured Bathyarchaeota archaeon
Lineage: Archaea; Thermoproteati; Candidatus Bathyarchaeota
Description: bacterial SSU rRNA
Rfam family: Archaeal small subunit ribosomal RNA
Source: RNAcentral